CUCACAAAUUUUCAAUUGAAUCGGACAACCUGUUGUCGGGUUGCUGCCCUAAAAUUGGUGAUUUUAAGGAAAUUUUGCAGUUUUUGGUUAUUAUCUUGAAUACUAUUAAAGAUAGAGAUAAACUGUAAACAGCAAUAAUGUUCAGCAAAGUAAGAUCUACAAAUAAGUCAGCAUGAUCAAAAUUGUUAGAGGACCCCUUAAGGAGUUAUUGCCCUUUAUAGUCAAUAUUGAACAACUUUUCGUCAUUUUUGUAACUUGUAUAAAAAUCAUUUCUAAAACUACUUGGCCAAAUUUAACCAAACUUGGCCACAAUCAUAAUACUAGGGUAUCUUUUUUUUUUAAAAAGUGUCUAAUGACCCCGCCUACCAACGAAGAUGGCCAACAUCUGUAAACACAUUAACAGGUGAGCGACACAGGCUCUUGAGAGCCUCUAGUUUU
This 438-nucleotide long non-coding RNA is filed under the name Mytilus galloprovincialis (Mediterranean mussel). Lineage: Eukaryota; Metazoa; Mollusca; Bivalvia; Mytilida; Mytilidae. The record is from RNAcentral.